RNAcentral lists this ribosomal RNA (253 nucleotides) under uncultured bacterium. Its description in RNAcentral is "partial 16S ribosomal RNA". It matches the Rfam family "Bacterial small subunit ribosomal RNA", at positions 524 to 776 of the family's 1533-position model. The record is from RNAcentral.
UACGUAGGGGGCAAGCGUUGUCCGGAAUCAUUGGGCGUAAAGCGCGUGUAGGCGGCCAGAAAAGUCCGCUGUGAAAACUCGAGGCUCAACUUCGAGCUGUCGGUGGAAACUUUCUGGCUAGAGUCCGGAAGAGGAGAAUGGAAUUCCUGGUGUAGCGGUGAAAUGCGCAGAUAUCAGGAGGAACACCGGUGGCGAAGGCGGAUCUCUGGGCCUUACCUGACGCUGAGGCGCGAAAGCUAGGGGAGCGAACAGG